CACGGGGGGAGCAAGCGUUGUUCGGAACCACUGGGCGUAAAGGGCGUGUAGGCGGUCAAGUAAGUGGGAUGUGAAAUCCCUCGGCUCACCCGAGGACCUGCAUCCCAAACUGCUUGGCUUGAGUAUGGGAGAGGAUGAGGGAAUUCCUGGUGUAGCGGUGAAAUGCGUAGAUAUCAGGAGGAACACCGGUGGCGAAGGCGCUCAUCUGGCCCAAUACUGACGCUGAGGCGCGAAAGCUAGGGGAGCAAACGGG
RNAcentral lists this ribosomal RNA (253 nucleotides) under uncultured bacterium. RNAcentral's name for it is "partial 16S ribosomal RNA". It matches the Rfam family "Bacterial small subunit ribosomal RNA", at positions 524 to 776 of the family's 1533-position model. The record is from RNAcentral.